UCCGGUUGAUCCUGCCGGACCUGACUGCUAUCGGAUUGAUACUAAGCCAUGCGAGUCAUUGUAGCAAUACAAGGCAGACGGCUCAGUAACGCGUAGUCAACCUACCCUAUGGACGGGAAUAACCUCGGGAAACUGAGUAUAAUGCCCGAUAGAACACUAUACCUGGAAUGGUUUGUGUUCCAAAUGAUUUAUCGCCGUAGGAUGGGACUGCGGCCUAUCAGUUUGUUGGUGAGGUAAUGGCCCACCAAGACUAUUACAGGUACGGGCUCUGAGAGGAGUGGCCCGGAGAUGGGUACUGAGACACGGACCCAGGCCCUAUGGGGCGCAGCAGGCGAGAAAACUUUGCAAUGUGCGAAAGCACGACAAGGUUAAUCCGAGUGGUUUCUGCUAAAGGAACCUUUUGACAGUCCUAGAAACACUGUUGAAUAAGGGGUGGGCAAGUUCUGGUGUCAGCCGCCGCGGUAAAACCAGCACCUCAAGUGGUCAGGAUGAUUAUUGGGCCUAAAGCAUCCGUAGCCGGCUCUGUAAGUUUUCGGUUAAAUCUGUACGCUUAACGUACAGGCUGCUGGGAAUACUGCAGAGCUAGGGAGUGGGAGAGGUAGACGGUACUCGGGAGGAAGUGGUAAAAUGCUUUGAUCUCUCGAUGACCACCUGUGGCGAAGGCGGUCUACCAGAACACGUCCGACGGUGAGGGAUGAAAGCUGGGGGAGCAAACCGGAUU
Molecule: ribosomal RNA, 721 nt
Filed under: uncultured sediment archaeon
Lineage: Archaea
Description: bacterial SSU rRNA
Rfam family: Archaeal small subunit ribosomal RNA
Source: RNAcentral